Molecule: ribosomal RNA, 278 nt
Filed under: uncultured Ruminococcus sp.
Lineage: Bacteria; Bacillati; Bacillota; Clostridia; Eubacteriales; Oscillospiraceae
Description: partial 16S ribosomal RNA
Rfam family: Bacterial small subunit ribosomal RNA
Source: RNAcentral
GCCGCCGCGGUAACACGUAAGGUGCUAGCGUUGUUCGGAAUUAUUGGGCGUAAAGGGCAUGUAGGCGGAAAUGCAAGCUUGGUGUGAAAUCCCGGGGCUCAACUCCGGGACUGCGUUGAGAACUGCAUAACUAGAGUGACUGAGGGGCAGCCGGAAUUCCAGGUGUAGGGGUGAAAUCUGUAGAUAUCUGGAAGAACACCAAUGGCGAAGGCAGGCUGCCAGCAGAUCACUGACGCUGAGGUGCGAAGGUGCGGGGAGCAAACAGGAUUAGAUACCCC